CGCUGGCGGCACGCCUAACACAUGCAAGUCGAACGAAGUAGCAAUACUUAGUGGCAGACGGGUGAGUAACAUGUAGGUAUCUACCCUUUGGCCUGGAAUAACACGAGGAAACUUGUGCUAAUACCGGAUAAGUCUUUACGGAGAAAGCUUUAUGCACCAUUGGAUGAGCCUGCACUUGAUUAGUUUGUUGGUGGGGUAAUGGCCUACCAAGACUGUGAUCAAUAGCUGAUUUGAGAGGAUGAUCAGCCACAUUGGGACUGAGACACGGCCCAAACUCCUACGGGAGGCAGCAGUGGGGAAUCUUGCACAAUGGAGGAAACUCUGAUGCAGCGAUGCCGCGUGAGUGAAGAAGGCCCUUGGGUUGUAAAGCUCUUUCGUCGGGGAAGAAAAUGACUGUACCCGAAUAAGAAGGUCCGGCUAACUUCGUGCCAGCAGCCGCGGUAAUACGAAGGGACCUAGCGUAGUUCGGAAUUACUGGGCUUAAAGAGUUCGUAGGUGGUUGAAAAAGUUAGUGGUGAAAUCCCAGAGCUUAACUCUGGAACUGCCAUUAAAACUUUUCAGCUAGAGUAUGAUAGAGGAAAGCAGAAUUUCUAGUGUAGAGGUGAAAUUCGUAGAUAUUAGAAAGAAUACCAAUUGCGAAGGCAGCUUUCUGGAUCAUUACUGACACUGAGGAACGAAAGCAUGGGUAGCGAAGAGGAUUAGAUACCCUCGUAGUCCAUGCCGUAAACGAUGUGUGUUAGACGUUGGAAAUUUAUUUUCAGUGUCGCAGCGAAAGCGAUAAACACACCGCCUGGGGAGUACGAC
RNAcentral lists this ribosomal RNA (804 nucleotides) under uncultured Pelagibacteraceae bacterium. RNAcentral's name for it is "bacterial SSU rRNA". It matches the Rfam family "Bacterial small subunit ribosomal RNA", at positions 34 to 886 of the family's 1533-position model. Lineage: Bacteria; Pseudomonadati; Pseudomonadota; Alphaproteobacteria; Candidatus Pelagibacterales; Candidatus Pelagibacteraceae. The record is from RNAcentral.